UCGCCCUGUUUUUACAAAAACAUGUCCUCUUGAUAAUAUUUUGAGGUCUAGUCUGCUCACUGAAAUUUUUAAUAGCCGCGGUAUUUUGACCGUGCAAAGGUAGCAUAAUCAUUAGUCUUUUAAUUGAAGGCUGGAAUGAAUGGCUGGACGAGAAAUUAACUGUCUCUUAAUAAUAUAUAAAAUUUAACUUUUAAGUUAAAAGGCUUAAAUUUAUUUUUAGGACGAGAAGACCCUAUAGAGCUUGACAUAAAUAAAUAAAUUUGAUUUUUAGUUAAUUUUAUCAUAUUAAUUGUUGAUGUUUUGUUGGGGUGACAUGAAAAAUAAGUAAACUUUUCAUUUAUUAAAUCAUUGAUUUAUGUUUAUUAUGAUCCAUAAUUUAUGAUCAAAAGAUAAAGUUACCUUAGGGAUAACAGCGUAAUUGUUUUUGAGAGUUCAUAUCAACAAAAUAGAUUGCGACCUCGAUGUUGGAUUAAGAAUAAUUUUGGGUGCAGUAGUCCAUAGAUUAGGUC
This 509-nucleotide ribosomal RNA is filed under the name Pseudoxya diminuta. RNAcentral describes it as "partial 16S ribosomal RNA". It matches the Rfam family "Archaeal large subunit ribosomal RNA", at positions 1888 to 2646 of the family's 2987-position model. The record is from RNAcentral. Lineage: Eukaryota; Metazoa; Arthropoda; Insecta; Orthoptera; Acrididae.